UCUUAAAAAAACAUUUGAAAGCAUUUUAUGUAACUCGGGGACUGUUAUGGUGUGGCUCACAUACCUAGAUAGAGCCUGGAGUAGUGGUCUGAGUAUUGUACUAUAACUCUGAAGAACAGGGUUCAAAACUCCACUUGGCCAUGAAAACCCAUUGGAUGAUCUUGGGCAAGUCACACACUCUCAGGACCAGAAACCCAUGUGAUAGUUUUAUAUUAGGGUUGCCAUAAUUCAGAAAUGACUUGGAGGUACAGUAUCAACAACCACAUACACCAGGAAUUAGUUAUGGCAACACCUCCCCCUCCUCCCACAAACACACACAAAUUGGAACUCCUGCAAACAUUAACUACAGUAGAGUCUUGCCUAUCCAACGUUCUGGAUUAUCCAAUGCAGUCUGCCUCCCGCCCGGAUCCACAGCUGUUUCCCUAGGCAGCAAGGACUGAACGUUUUACAGAUUUAAUUUCUGACAAAGUUGUUACUGUACAUUCAUUUUAUGCAAUUCUAUCUUUAUUUGCAGUCAAUUUGUUACUUGCCAAAGUUUUUGUAGUUAAUGUUUUCAAUGCAUUGUAAUGUUUUGGUGCUACAUUCGUAAAUACAGUAAUUACUACAUAAUGUUACAGUGUAUUGAACUGCUUUUUCUGUCGAUUUGUUGUAAAACAUAAUGUUUUGGUGCUUAAUUUGUAAAAUCGUAACGUAAUUUGAUGUUUAAUAGGCUUUUCCUUAAUCCCACCUUAUUAUCCAACAUAUUCACUUAUCCAGCGUUCUGCUGGCCCGUUUAUGUUAGAUAAGUGAGACUCUACUGUAAUAUGUUUUCUCCAAACAAAUAAAGAUGGUGCCAUUAAAACACUGAAUCCAAGUAUGAAGAGCCUCUGGGUCUGAUAACAUAUUCCAGAGUUCUUGGGAGAUACAUCCCACAUUUCAUCUGGUUUCCUUGACAAGGCUUCAUAUAUUUAUCACUGCAUGACAAAUUUUUUGACAGAUACAUUUUUAGCUGAUAUGGAAAUGCAGUGAUAGGAAAGCAGUUUAUCAGAAUCAACUUACCAUUAGGCAGAAUGAGGCAGCUGCCUCGGGUGACAGAUUUUGAAUGUACUGUAGAGGCAGCUAAUUCCUAGUUAUUC
This 1115-nucleotide long non-coding RNA is filed under the name Anolis carolinensis (green anole). Its description in RNAcentral is "lncRNA (ENSACAG00000043497.1)". The record is from RNAcentral. Lineage: Eukaryota; Metazoa; Chordata; Lepidosauria; Squamata; Anolidae.